Molecule: long non-coding RNA, 1287 nt
Organism: Pseudophryne corroboree (corroboree frog)
Lineage: Eukaryota; Metazoa; Chordata; Amphibia; Anura; Myobatrachidae
Exons: 3
Source: RefSeq, a predicted model, not a curated record
GAUCGCCAAGUAACAAACCUUACCUAUUCACUUUCACUAUCAUUGGCAGAGUUCUAUCAGCACAACAGCAGCAGCAUACUGCGCAGGGAGAGAAGAGACUGGUCUCUAGACCCUCCCUAGCCCAGUACAGCACACAGCAGGAAUUGUUUAUGCUGGGGAGGGAGUCUACUACUGAGCUGCAGCAGUCUCCUCUCCCUCCCUGCAUGAUGUACUGCUGCCACUGCACUGCUAUACAGUGGCUAAAGGUAGCGGACAGGUCUAUGUAUCAGCUGCCUAAAGGGACAAUUUGGAUUGAAGAACGAUAGAUAAGAUGACAGGAAUAUUGUCCCAAAGAAGGGACAGAUGGGAGUAGAUCCCAUCAAGUUGAAUGGUUUGAAGUAAGUGAUGGAAAGGGGGAAGAAAAGUUGAAAAAGAGAGAGAGAAGACGAGACGGGCACAAACAUACAAAAGGAGAAGGAAAAUAAAGGGCACUUCUGAUCAACUGUAAGAAGAUAUAAGGGAAGAUACAAAACGGAGAAAGUGUGUGGGUUGUGCUUUUACGGUAAUCUGUUUGUAAUCUGAGUGUAGUGACAGAAUAAUGAACACCAAUCAUGCCCGUUGUGGUGCAUUCUUACUUCAUCUAGCUACAAGAAUGAUGGCAUAAUUAGGCAGCAAAUUGCGAAGAGCGCGAAGGAAAGAACUUAUGCAGCAAUUGGAAAAUAUGUGAUUUAGUGAGGUCAACUAAAACUGUCAGUGGUGGAGCGGGAACUAGAUAUAUAUGACCUGGGAAUAGUGUUUAGGUACCUGCACGACAUAGCAAUCUGUUAUAUCCAGUAGAAUGUGAUUAGAAUCAUUAUUUGAUAAUAAAUAGAACCGAAUUGUUGACGUGUACAAAUUGGCAAUUCAUGUCGGCAGUAAAUCACAAAUCACUGACUCUUCCACGCUGAAAGUUGUACGUAAACUGCUGGUGCUUUAUACCUACAGGGUAAUAAUAAUAACGUAGAGAGAGAUACUAAUAAGUUGUUAGCCUAUGACAUGAUCUGUUUUACUGUCUACAAAUAUAUUACAGUAGUACUAAUUAUAUUGUGGCACAUGCCAUCAAAUACAUUUAUGCUAAAAUCAGUUUUGUUUAUCACGUGUUUUUAAUAUACAAUACAAAUUAAUGUUGCUAUAUAUUCCCAUUGUACAGUAUGUCAUUACUGCAUCACACAAAAUGUAUUCUUAUAAUUCUUUUAUGUCUGAGUUGCUGCUAUAUUAUUGGCUGAUUAUAUAUUUUCAUAAAUAAGCAGGUGUACCAAUAAAGUGAUC